Molecule: ribosomal RNA, 481 nt
Filed under: uncultured bacterium
Lineage: Bacteria
Description: bacterial SSU rRNA
Rfam family: Bacterial small subunit ribosomal RNA
Source: RNAcentral
UGUUUGAUCCUGGCUCAGGACGAACGCUGGCGGCGUGCCUAACACAUGCAAGUCGAACGCGAACGGGGGGCAACCCCCUAGUAGAGUGGCGCACGGGUGAGUAACACGUGGGUAAUCUACCUUCGGGUGGGGUAUAACAGCUCGAAAGGGCUGCUAAUCCCGCAUAAGACCACAGGGGCUUCGGCCCCAGGGGCCAAAGCAGCAAUGCGCCUGAAGAUGAGCCCGCGGCCCAUCAGCUAGUUGGUGAGGUAACGGCCCACCAAGGCUCUGACGGGUAGCUGGUCUGAGAGGACGACCAGCCACACUGGGACUGGAACACGGCCCAGACUCCUACGGGAGGCAGCAGUGAGGAAUUUUGGACAAUGGGCGAAAGCCUGAUCCAGCAACGCCGCGUGGGUGAUGAAGGCCUUCGGGUUGUAAAGCCCUUUCGGGAGGAACGAGAAAGGACGGUACCUCCAGAAGAAGCACCGGCUAACUCCGU